CAGUCGGCAGUGGUGGAAGAAGCCGUCCGCCGGCCGAAAGCGCCAUCCGCACAGAGAUGGUGGACGUCGACCACGUUUGCUCUUCUCCCACCUCCGCGGCCACGAGUAUUGAAGAUCAAGUAGCAUCUAUCCUGUACCAUUUAGGAAAAAGCAAGAAGAACUCUUAUGAAGACGUCGAAAGAUGCGGUGCGAAUUCUUCCCACAUCAAACCUAAGG
This is a long non-coding RNA of Stegodyphus dumicola, 216 nucleotides long. Lineage: Eukaryota; Metazoa; Arthropoda; Arachnida; Araneae; Eresidae. The record is from RefSeq and is a predicted model, not a curated record.